Pachysolen tannophilus NRRL Y-2460 is the source of this 73-nucleotide transfer RNA. It matches the Rfam family "tRNA". Rfam says of the family: Transfer RNA (tRNA) molecules are approximately 80 nucleotides in length. Lineage: Eukaryota; Fungi; Ascomycota; Pichiomycetes; Alaninales; Pachysolenaceae. The record is from Rfam.
GUAAAUAUAAUUUAAUCGGUUAAAAUCGAUGCUUGUGGUGCAUUUUAUCUGAGUUCAAUUCUCAGUAUUUACC